RNAcentral lists this ribosomal RNA (253 nucleotides) under uncultured bacterium. RNAcentral describes it as "partial 16S ribosomal RNA". It matches the Rfam family "Bacterial small subunit ribosomal RNA", at positions 524 to 776 of the family's 1533-position model. The record is from RNAcentral.
UACGUAGGGGGCAAGCGUUAACCGGAAUUACUGGGCGUAAAGCGUGCGCAGGCGGUUAUGUAAGUCAGAUGUGAAAGGCCCGGGCUUAACCUGGGAACUGCAUUUGUGACUGCAUGGCUAGAGUUUGGCAGAGGGGGGUAGAAUUCCACGUGUAGCAGUGAAAUGCGUAGAUAUGUGGAGGAACACCGAUGGCGAAGGCAGCCCCCUGGGUCAAGACUGAUGCUCAUGCACGAAAGCGUGGGGAGCAAACAGG